CCCCUAAGGGGGGCCGGUAGGAAUGCAAGUCGAACGCACUCUCGUUAGAUUGAAGAAGCUUGCUUCUGAUUGAUAACAUUUGAGUGAGUGGCGGACGGGUGAGUAACACGUGGGUAACCUGCCCUAAAGUGGGGGAUAACAUUUGGAAACAGAUGCUAAUACCGCAUAAAACCUAGCACCGCAUGGUGCAAGGUUGAAAGAUGGUUUCGGCUAUCACUUUAGGAUGGACCCGCGGUGCAUUAGUUAGUUGGUGAGGUAAAGGCUCACCAAGACCGUGAUGCAUAGCCGACCUGAGAGGGUAAUCGGCCACACUGGGACUGAGACACGGCCCAGACUCCUACGGGAGGCAGCAGUAGGGAAUCUUCCACAAUGGACGAAAGUCUGAUGGAGCAACGCCGCGUGAGUGAAGAAGGUUUUCGGAUCGUAAAACUCUGUUGUUGGAGAAGAACGUAUUUGAUAGUAACUGAUCAGGUAGUGACGGUAUCCAACCAGAAAGCCACGGCUAACUACGUGCCAGCAGCCGCGGUAAUACGUAGGUGGCAAGCGUUGUCCGGAUUUAUUGGGCGUAAAGCGAGCGCAGGCGGUUUCUUAAGUCUGAUGUGAAAGCCUUCGGCUCAACCGAAGAAGUGCAUCGGAAACUGGGAAACUUGAGUGCAGAAGAGGACAGUGGAACUCCAUGUGUAGCGGUGAAAUGCGUAGAUAUAUGGAAGAACACCAGUGGCGAAGGCGGCUGUCUGGUCUGUAACUGACGCUGAGGCUCGAAAGCAUGGGUAGCAAACAGGAUUAGAUACCCUGGUAGUCCAUGCCGUAAACGAUGAGUGCUAGGUGUUGGAGGGUUUCCGCCCUUCAGUGCCGCAGCUAACGCAUUAAGCACUCCGCCUGGGGAGUACGACCGCGAGGUUGAAACUCAAAGGAAUUGACGGGGGCCCGCACAAGCGGUGGAGCAUGUGGUUUAAUUCGAAGCAACGCGAAGAACCUUACCAGGUCUUGACAUCCUUUGACCACUCUAGAGAUAGAGCUUUCCCUUCGGGAACAAAGUGACAGGUGGGGCAUGGUUGGUCCUCAGCUCGUG
This 1072-nucleotide ribosomal RNA is filed under the name Latilactobacillus curvatus. RNAcentral's name for it is "bacterial SSU rRNA". It matches the Rfam family "Bacterial small subunit ribosomal RNA", at positions 34 to 1064 of the family's 1533-position model. The record is from RNAcentral. Lineage: Bacteria; Bacillati; Bacillota; Bacilli; Lactobacillales; Lactobacillaceae.